This 237-nucleotide ribosomal RNA is filed under the name uncultured bacterium. Its description in RNAcentral is "partial 16S ribosomal RNA". It matches the Rfam family "Bacterial small subunit ribosomal RNA", at positions 540 to 776 of the family's 1533-position model. The record is from RNAcentral.
GUUGUUCGGAAUUACUGGGCGUAAAGCGCGUGUAGGCGGCAGCGUAAGUCGGGCGUGAAAUCCCACGGCUCAACCGUGGAAGUGCACUCGAAACUGCGCAGCUAGAGUCCUGGAGAGGAAGGUGGAAUGCUUGGUGUAGAGGUGAAAUUCGUAGAUAUCAAGCGGAACACCGGUGGCGAAGGCGGCCUUCUGGACAGUGACUGACGCUGAGACGCGAAAGCGUGGGGAGCAAACAGG